RNAcentral lists this long non-coding RNA (271 nucleotides) under Elaeis guineensis (African oil palm). Its description in RNAcentral is "long non-coding RNA (EGUI_LNC021553)". Lineage: Eukaryota; Viridiplantae; Streptophyta; Magnoliopsida; Arecales; Arecaceae. The record is from RNAcentral.
UGCCUAUAAUCUCAAGAAACAUCUGAUGUCAUGAGGAAAUAAUAAAUGCAUGAAGAAUAUGGAAGGAAUUAAGAGUCCACGUUGAAAUGGACUCUUCCAAUUUCAACGCCAAAAAAAGAGGGCAUCCCACAUUAAUUUUGGUAUAGAGUUUCUUCCAAGAGAAGGAAUCCACUCCCUCUUCCACAUCUCGCAUCUCAAGGCAUCAUCUGAUGGUGCACAAAAAUAAAGGGAUACGUGGAAGAUGUAAGAGAAUUAAGAGGAGUGGAAGAGA